This 259-nucleotide long non-coding RNA is filed under the name Gossypium barbadense (sea-island cotton). RNAcentral's name for it is "long non-coding RNA (GBAR_LNC019787)". The record is from RNAcentral. Lineage: Eukaryota; Viridiplantae; Streptophyta; Magnoliopsida; Malvales; Malvaceae.
UCCUCGAUUAGUUCUCUAGAGUGACAGAGCAGCUCCUUUUGGUCAAUCAGUUCCAGCACCACAAAAUUAGGUUUUUGCCUUUGCUUCUUAAUCUCCUCCCGCCACACGUCGAUUCCAAUGGUUAGAAAAAGCUGUUCUCGAACAGGUAGGUAUGGUGGCCUCCUUAUACGCAAUUUCAAGUGGUGCCAUUCCGCCAACGGAGAACAUUAGAUGUACUUAUGUUUUACCCCUAUAAGAGAUGUUGGAGUUUGAGUUCCAU